RNAcentral lists this ribosomal RNA (271 nucleotides) under uncultured archaeon. RNAcentral's name for it is "partial 16S ribosomal RNA". It matches the Rfam family "Archaeal small subunit ribosomal RNA", at positions 477 to 747 of the family's 1478-position model. The record is from RNAcentral.
CAGCGCCACGAGUGGCAACCACGUUUAUUGGGCCUAAAGCGUCCGUAGCCGGUCUGGUAAAUUCUCUGUGAAAUCGGCCAUGUAAACUGGUCGGCGUGCAGAAAACACUGCUAGGCUUGGGACUGGGAGAGGUUAGAAGUAUUCUAGGGGUAGCGGUAAAAUGUUAUAAUCCCUGGAGGACUGCCAAUGGCGAAGGCAUCUAACCAGCACAGAUCCGACGGUGAGGGACGAAAGCUAGGGGAGCGAUCCGGAUUAGAUACCCGAGUAGUCC